Molecule: long non-coding RNA, 695 nt
Filed under: Homo sapiens (human)
Lineage: Eukaryota; Metazoa; Chordata; Mammalia; Primates; Hominidae
Description: HSALNT0315916
Source: RNAcentral
UGUCCUUUCUAAUAUACAAUAAACAUGCCAUUUCUAGUAUACAAUAAUUUAUACAGUAAGUUUAAUAUAACCAAUUUUCCAAUUUUAACAAUCAUGAUCUAUCCUCAUGUAUAUGAAAACCUAAGAUAAAUCUUUUUUUUUAAAUUAAGGAAAUUUUUAGAAAAUCAUUACUUUAACCAACUUCAAUCUCUACCACUGCAUUUGGAACAAAUAAUAUUUAGUCAGAUGGAAUGCCUCUCAAAUAUUUAAAAGAACGGAGUCUCGCUCUGUCACCCAGGCUGGAAUACAGUGACGCGAUCUCUGCCCACUGCAAGCUCUGCCUAAGAAGGUUAAGUAAAGAGAAUAUCUGGCCACUUUCCUCAGUGUAUCUCAGUAAAUACUAUGUUAUUUAGCUCUUCUAUCAGCAGAUAUGUAAGCUGUUUAUUGCAUCAGUAAUUUUCAAAGAAAAUGAAUGUAAAGUAAACAGAGCAACAGAAGUGAGAGCAAAGAUUCUUUCCAGCUUUCCACAUCUUUGAAUUGAAACGAUAAGCCUCUGUCAAGUUUUAACUAGUCCUCCUUUACAUGUUCCUUUAUUUAUAGAAAUAUUUCAAGUAACAGCUUUUGUUCUCUCCAGUUAAAAACUUUGUGUGAUUUUCAUGCUGCUAAAAAGACACAUGCACAUGUAUGUUUAUUGUGGCACUAUUCACAAUAGCAAA